AGAGAUGAACUCGAAAAGCACAAGAAGAAUUUUCAGCAUGAACUCCAAGCACGUCAGGAACUGGAACAAUACAAGAAGAAUUCUGAGUAUGUUCAAGCGAGUGAAUAUCGAUACAAAGAGGAGCUGAAACAAAAAAGUCAGGAACUGG
Molecule: long non-coding RNA, 148 nt
Organism: Puntigrus tetrazona (Sumatra barb)
Lineage: Eukaryota; Metazoa; Chordata; Actinopteri; Cypriniformes; Cyprinidae
Exons: 4
Source: RefSeq, a predicted model, not a curated record